AUGGGACUUGAACCCAGCCAAAACUCAGAAUGGGACUUGAACUCCUGGGCUGGGACUGAAACCCACCAUCUUUUAACUGAAAUUGCACUCCUGGUUUUGGGACUUAAAGAACGGGAGUUUUGUUUCGUGUUGGAGUUUCCUCUAUGGACCAGACUUUUUUUUCUAAAGAGGCUUCUUCCAGGCUUAUUUUUUAAAUCUAAUUAUACAGUAUAUGAACACUGUAUAUACAGUUAUUUUACAGUUAUUUUUAUAAAUGAUUUACAGAAAAAGCCCUAUGAUCAAGACCAACAACGUGCUUUCCCUUCUCUCCAGACCUGUUCCAGGUACUGCCGAAAAGAUAAGAAAGAAAAUGAUGGGGAAAAUGUCACAGAGGCAAAUGUUAACAGGUUUGACUAUCUAAGCCUUUUAAAACAUCCAUCAGAGGGAUUUUGUGGGGAAGAGGCAGCUGUGACUGAAAUAGGACAUGUCUGUGACGGGAGGGAAAGAGGCCACUCAAUCUUGACGCUUCCUUCUUCCUCAAACUCACCUGCCUCUGAGCAUCACCAAGGCGUUUGCAUUCGGCCUCCGUCUGUGGCCUCAUCUCCUUCCCCGAAGCCUCAUCUUACUCCCGCCACCAUUAUCUCUCACCUGAGCUGCUGCCUCCACCUCCUAACUGGUCUCCCCACUUCCACUCUGCACCCCACAAUCCUUUCUUCUCACAGCAGCAAGAGUGAGACUUCUAGAGUGUAAGUGAACCCUUCUUAAUACUCCUUAUGUACAAUCCAAACUCCUGGAUGUGGCCUGGCCGCUGCCCACCUCCCGCCUAAUCCUCAGGCGCUCCCCAUUCUCCUCCCUGCACACUCCCCUCUCAACCCUGGCCUGUCCUCGGUUCCAUCUGAACUCAGUACUCUUCCCUCUACUCCCUUCUCCCCUGGUUUCUCAUCCCCUGUUCCUCAGCCUGGGUCACCUGCACCCAAACCCAAGCAGCUCCCUCUCUCACAGUGUGUUUUUCCCCCGAAUGUAUAAAUAUUUGCUAUUUGUUUUCUCCUUUCUUUACUGCUCAACUCCCCUGAAUAGUCUAAGCUCCUUGAGAGCAGGGACCACUCAGUCUUCUUGUCUACAGCAGCUUUGAUACGCAGCACAGUGUCCAGCCUGUAGUAAAUGGUCAAUAAACAGUCACUGAGUGUAAUGCAUGCUAAGACAAGAGCAAGAGGGGCUCCAACUUUGGGCCUGCACUUUAGAGGCUCCUGCUGCGGCCCUCCCAUGCUCUGCCCCUUCCUAUAGGAAGCAGAGAAUAUGUGUCCACCAGGCUUCUCCCCUCAAGUCCAUGUACCUGGGAUCCUAGAGUUCCUUUUGCAAUGCCCCUCACCCUCUUCCACGGCCUUCAAGGGCCUCUUUCCUGGGCCCAUCAUCCCAAGGACAGGUUGGCUCACCUAUGUGUGCAUCCCUAGGCCUGAAGUCUGGGUGUGCAGUGGAACCUAGAUGCGCUUGCUGAGGCAGUCACAAGCAUGCCCCCGAGACCCUGUGCGGGACGGGGUAGAGGUGCAGGGUUAGAAGAGGGGGAGGCCAGCCCUGCCUCCACCUCCGCAUUCUGGAGAGAAGCUCUUAGGAGUCCAGGAACUCUAAAUUACAGCCAGGACCUCCUGGUUGUUCUGAAGGUCUAUUUCUCAAGGUAGGAGGAUAGUCUAUAUGUAUGUACAUAGAUAUUUAAAUGUAUUUUAUUGAAGGAUAGUUCAUUUACAAUGUUGUUUCUGCUAUAUAGCAAAGUGAUCCACACAUACACACACAGAUAUAAAUAUAUAUA
Molecule: long non-coding RNA, 1783 nt
Filed under: Capra hircus (goat)
Lineage: Eukaryota; Metazoa; Chordata; Mammalia; Artiodactyla; Bovidae
Description: lncRNA (ENSCHIG00010020361.1)
Source: RNAcentral